This is a non-coding RNA of Desmophyllum pertusum, 71 nucleotides long. Lineage: Eukaryota; Metazoa; Cnidaria; Anthozoa; Scleractinia; Caryophylliidae. The record is from the annotation of a GenBank genome assembly.
GAGGUGGCAUAACGGUUAGUGCAUUGGACUCUGGAUCGAGCAGUCGCGGGUUCGAGCGCUGGCCGGGGUCA